RNAcentral lists this ribosomal RNA (301 nucleotides) under uncultured bacterium. Its description in RNAcentral is "partial 16S ribosomal RNA". It matches the Rfam family "Archaeal small subunit ribosomal RNA", at positions 459 to 760 of the family's 1478-position model. The record is from RNAcentral.
CAGCAGCCGCGGUAAUACCAGCACCUCGAGUGGUCAGGAGGUUUAUUGGGCCUAAAGCAUCCGUAGCCGGUUGCAUAAGUUUUCGGUUAAAUCUAUGCGCUUAACGUAUAGGCCGCCGAAAAUACUGUGCAGCUAGGGAGUGGGAGAGGUACACGGUACUCGAUAGGAAGGGGUAAAAUCCUUUGAUCUAUUGAUGACCACCUGUGGCGAAGGCGGUGUACCAGAACACGUUCGACGGUGAGGGAUGAAAGCUGGGGGAGCAAACCGGAUUAGAUACCCGCGUAGUCCCUGUCUCUUAUAC